Molecule: non-coding RNA, 443 nt
Organism: Paramuricea clavata
Lineage: Eukaryota; Metazoa; Cnidaria; Anthozoa; Malacalcyonacea; Plexauridae
Source: the annotation of a GenBank genome assembly
AUUUUUGAGAUCAGUGAGGAUGACCACCCAUCGUUGGUCACCCACGCCCGCGAUAAUUGAUGAACUUUAGACUUCCCUAAUGCUUUCGUUUCCCCGGGUGUAAAUAGCCGGGGGGAAUUAGUACCCUCGCACGGCGCUUCGCGCCGUCGGCUCGGGGAUAAAGUUUUAAAUUUAUCUCGGGUAUAAUUAAUUUAGCUUAUAAAGAACUUGGUACGUAACAUUUUGGCGACCCCGCCAGGACUACAAAGAUGAACACUCGGUCUACGAGGAGAGAUUUUUCAGACGAUGAAGAACCCGACCUGAAUGAGCGUAAACAAACCGGCAGCAUUUUAGACGAGUUGAUUGAGCAGCGACUGCGAGCAGUUAUCGAGCAAAACGACGUACAUAUGUAACAGGCAGAGAGAUUCAAUCAAAUCAUAAGUCAGUAUGAGGAAAGAAUCGGG